Molecule: long non-coding RNA, 1052 nt
Filed under: Salvator merianae (Argentine black and white tegu)
Lineage: Eukaryota; Metazoa; Chordata; Lepidosauria; Squamata; Teiidae
Description: lncRNA (ENSSMRG00000022904.1)
Source: RNAcentral
AAGAGCUGGAGUGCAUGGCAUAAGCAGGGCAAGCCUGGGGCAUUGUUCAGGCAAACAGGGCACUAGGAAAGAAUUUUCUGUCCCAGAACACUUUAUCUCAUGCCUUUAUCCAGACAAGAUUGCCGGCUAUUCGUUCUUGCCUCAAAACCUAGAAGAGAGAGAGAAACUUCACAAACUGCUCAACACGACGAUGGCUUAAAAAGCAAGUGUCUAAAGAGACUCCCAAGAUCUCUUUUCAAGCUAGUUACUGCAACUUCAUAUUCCAUCAUCAUGUAAUUAGGACUUUCUACUCCAAAAUAUAAACUUCCUGCUUUGAACUACAUUUUCCAUGUUGGUGAUCAUUUACCUAGUUUGGAGAGAGCCUCUGGAAGCUCGUGACAGUCAUGAACAAUCCUGAAAUCAGAGAACUGGGGGAAUGUAAAGUGCACGAAUGUGGAUAAUUUUGUGAUGUUAUGUGAUGUUUGGUAAAUGUUGAAAAUGCAACAAAAAUUACUUUUUUAAAAAAAUCAGUAACUUGGCCAUCCCACUGCUGUAACACAUGAUGUCCAAGUCCCAGUGAUGGAAGGGCAGCUAGCAGAUAAGGACAANAUGAGUGGCACCUACCCACACAUNCAGUAGGUCAGAGCUUGAGUCCAUUUUAGUUUCUCUUUCAGCAUAUUUUAAUUCCAUUGCCCAUUAGGUGAUAGUCAUUUCAUGCAAACUACUUACAUCUCCUGUGAGUCUGUGGGUCCCAAACAUCUAAGGAUUCCUUGGUCAAAUCACCUAAAUAGCACCCUUGCAGAGUUCCCAUAUUAAGACUCAGUGGAUAUGAAUAGGCAAAUCAUUUCAGAAGCUUCCUCUCCAGCUGAUACAAUCAAUGCCUUCAACAAUAUUUCUAAAUCUUUGAAAUGCCAAAUAGCAGAAAUUCAUCAAUUUAUAUGAUCAAACAGCCCCCCAGAAAGCAUAAGAAGAACAUAUGGUUUGACUCUUAAGUGUCAAUUAGCUAAAACUAAUCUAAGAAAUGUAUACUUAUGGGCAAAAUUCUAAUCAUCCCUCUGUAUGUUAUCAAAGAG